Molecule: ribosomal RNA, 494 nt
Filed under: uncultured bacterium
Lineage: Bacteria
Description: bacterial SSU rRNA
Rfam family: Bacterial small subunit ribosomal RNA
Source: RNAcentral
CGUGCUUAACACAUGCAAGUCGAACGAGACGAUUUAGAAGCUUGCUUUUAUUGAGUCGAGUGGCAAACGGGUGAGUAACGCGUAGACAACCUGCCGCAAAGAUGGGGACAACAGUCCGAAAGGACUGCUAAUACCGAAUGUUGUAUCUCCUCCGCAUGGAAGAGAUAUUAAAGAUGGCCUCUACUUGUAAGCUAUCGCUUUGCGAUGGGUCUGCGUCUGAUUAGCUAGUUGGUGGGGCAACGGCCUACCAAGGCGACGAUCAGUAGCCGGUCUGAGAGGAUGAACGGCCACAUUGGGACUGAGACACGGCCCAAACUCCUACGGGAGGCAGCAGUAGGGAAUCUUCCACAAUGGGCGCAAGCCUGAUGGAGCAACACCGCGUGAGUGAAGAAGGGUUUCGGCUCGUAAAGCUCUGUUGUUGGAGAAGAACGUGCGUGAGAGUAACUGUUCACGCAGUGACGGUAUCCAACCAGAAAGUCACGGCUAACUACGUG